This 726-nucleotide ribosomal RNA is filed under the name Stereum ostrea. Its description in RNAcentral is "eukaryotic LSU rRNA". The stretch from base 312 to 465 matches the Rfam family "5.8S ribosomal RNA". The record is from RNAcentral. Lineage: Eukaryota; Fungi; Basidiomycota; Agaricomycetes; Russulales; Stereaceae.
GAGGAAGUAAAAGUCGUAACAAGGUUUCCGUAGGUGAACCUGCGGAAGGAUCAUUAUUGAAUGAACUUGGUCAGGCUGUUGCUGGUCUCUUCGGGGGCAUGUGCACGCCUGGCACCAAAUUCUUUUACCACCUGUGCACCUUCUGUAGACUUCUGGGACAAAUCUCUCCGAGUUCAACAAACUCGGUUGAAGGGGUUGCUGCCGAAAGGUCAGCUUUCCUUUGCCCUGUCUCUGGUCUAUGUCUUUUUACAUUCACAACGUAUGUCAAAGAAUGUUAUGUUACAGGCUUCAUUGCCUUUAAAACCUAAUACAACUUUCAACAACGGAUCUCUUGGCUCUCGCAUCGAUGAAGAACGCAGCGAAAUGCGAUAAGUAAUGUGAAUUGCAGAAUUCAGUGAAUCAUCGAAUCUUUGAACGCACCUUGCGCUCCUUGGUAUUCCGAGGAGCAUGCCUGUUUGAGUAUCAUGAAAUUCUCAACCUUGAUCGUUGCUUUUUUGCAGCUGAUCAUGGUUGGAUUGUGGGAGGUUUUUGCAGGCUUCAACCAAAGUCUGCUCUCCUGAAAUGCAUUAGCAGAGUUGCAUGACCAGCAUUUAUUGGUGUGAUAAUUAUCUACGCCAUUUAGCUGUGAAAGCAGAUUUGCCUUCUAAUCAGUCUCUGAGACAAAACUUAUUCAUGACUUUUUGAUCUCAAAUCAGGUAGGACUACCCGCUGAACUUAAGCAUACUA